Mugil cephalus (flathead mullet) is the source of this 1378-nucleotide long non-coding RNA. RefSeq lists it as uncharacterized. The record is from RefSeq and is a predicted model, not a curated record. Lineage: Eukaryota; Metazoa; Chordata; Actinopteri; Mugiliformes; Mugilidae. The transcript is spliced from 2 exons.
AAGGAUUAUGUCAAUGAAAACAGCUGGGAAAGUUCAGGAAUCAAAGAAUACUGGAUUGGCCUGAGAGCAGAAGAUGGGAAAUGGAAGUGGGUUGAUGGAAGUGAUCUUACUGAUAGCUCCUGGAUGAAACAGCCUCCUUUCACAGGUCGCUGUAUAAUUUCUGUCAAGGACCAAGGAUGGAAAUCAGUGAGCUGUGAAGACAAGAACGGAUGGAUCUGUGAAAAGAAGGCUUUAUCUCUUUAAACUAUAAUUAAACUAGAGUAGGCUACUAGAUAGUCUGAGGCUGUGGCUUGGUAGGUAGAGUAGGAGGGUUACUGGAAUAUGCCACAUGCUGAAGUGUCCUUGAGUAAGACACUGAACCUCCUGUUGCUUCCAGUUAUUAGAACUGGGGUGUGAAUGUGUGUGCGCUUGUGUGAAUAAAUGGUCAGAUGUGUCACUUUGAAUGUAAAGCGCUUUGAGUAGCAAUAGAUAAAAAAUAUAUAAAAUAAUCUAAAAAGACCAUUCACCAUUAAUAUACCACAUGUAAGUAAAUUACAAAAAAGACUUUUAUUUUUUCUUCAAUAAAUGAACAUGCUUCUUUCCUCAGGCUGUAAGACAAUAAAAUAACUCUUGAAUUAUGAAUUUAUACACUGUUGGGGUUCAGGAGAGGAUGAUGUAGUGCUUGUUUUUAUGUUACUGGUCUGUUGUCUUAGAGAUCUGUACUUGACUGGUUCUGGAGGUUAUGAAUGGGACUGAAGCCUCUGUUAAAGUUAAAGUUAAAGUUCACACUUGUUUCUGCUCUGAGCCAAAUGACCACAUUAGUGUGUAUAUAAACUGUAUUUUAAACUGAAGAUCAGUCCCUGUUCUUAUCUGAGAAAAGCAGCAGCCUCACCAGUGUAUGGAUGAAUACAAGUUGAAGUACAGCGCUUGAAUAUAAAAUGCUGUGCUUGACAUAUCAGUCUUUAGUCACUGCAGAAAAAACAUUUACUCAUAAUGAAUGCAAUGAAAGGUGAACUGCAGCCGAUUGGAGUGAUGUCGAUGGCUGCAUGUGUUAAAACCCAUAACAGAGAAUAGUUCGCCUCAUAACAGCUCAGCAUAAGUUUCCAACAAAAGCCAGAAAACGUCAAAACAGAAUUACUAACCAGUAUAACAUUUGUACAGUUGACUUUCAUAUUAUGAACAUAAAGAAGCAGGACCACACGUCUGCAGCUAAAAUGUGUCUAUAAUAGUAUGUAUAAUAAUAGUCAUGAUUUUUCCAGCCUGCUCUGUGUUUUGUUGGUGAUUUGCAAAUGAGGACUAGUUUGCUGCAGAUACUGAAUUUUCUUGUUGCAUCUGUUUGUGGAGAUGGAACAGAUUAAUACAUACUGUAUAUGUAUAAUAAAGAUGUGAUGAACAACUA